This 1819-nucleotide unclassified non-coding RNA is filed under the name Drosophila ananassae. Its description in RNAcentral is "GF19418". The record is from RNAcentral. Lineage: Eukaryota; Metazoa; Arthropoda; Insecta; Diptera; Drosophilidae.
GUUAUUAUAAUCGGUAAAGCGGUUCCGAAGUUAUUUCACAAUUUUGUUUAUAUAAAAUGCGUUUCCGGGGCCCAUUGCAAUUAGUAGCGCUUGCGAAAUUACGGCAGAGUCGCCACUUGUGGGAAAUACUUUAAAUUAGAGAUCAGAACCAUGUCUGCCUUCGGUGAUGAAGUGGAUGCAGUUUGGCCAGCGGUUUCUGGAGACUCCCAGCCCCUGACGGAGUUCGGGAUGAAGCUGCUCCAGGACUGCCGGAAAGUAAAGAAGCCGAAGGCGAAAACUGACGGCCUUGCCUCCAUGGUGAUGCAGAAAUCCAAAGAGUUCCCCUUGCCAUUUGGCGUGGAGAGUGUCCGUGUCCACAAGCAGUCACCACUUCGGCUGGCUAGCAUUGACAUGCAGAUAGCUUCUACGUAUCCGGUUAUCCACGAACGUACCUUGGGCCUCUAUUUGCAAUACCUGGAGCACAAGUGCAAGUGGGGCAAUUCCAUUGAGAAACCCGUCUAUAAGCCGCUCUCCCUCUGCGGUUUUGUCCAGCGUCUCCUGGAGAAGCGCUGUGCCAGCUUCAUAGCCCGCAAUGACAAGUACCUGCUCCUUAGCGGUGAACGGGGAGCCAGUGGCUUCGAAACUGUGGGCACCGCCGAGGAGAAGGCGCCCUUGGUGCUGGCCGACCUACUCAGCUACGACGACAUCAAGCUGUCCGCUCUGCUGACCGUCAGCUCCCACACCAUUUUCAUCAACGAGGGCGAGCGUGCCAAUUGCGGUCGCGUUGCCUUCAACUCCAAGACUCUGGAGCCGAGUGGUGUCAUUGUGGGCAUGAUUGGAGCCCGGCUGUCGCGGCGGAAUCUGAUGGAGUUCCAGGACAUUGUGAUUGCCCGCACUCAGAACACCCGAGAGCGGGGCUACGGCAUGGCUCUGGAUGCACCGGCCACCACCAGGGAGCAGGACUAUCGGCGCUUGUGGCGUGGAUUCUACGCCAUGCGGGAUCUGGUGCAUGGCCAGGCCACCAUUGACCAUCAAAGGUUCGGUCCCUCGGGCAAUAAGUUGGAUGUUUUCGACAAUCUGGCUAUGAAACGGCGCUAUGCGAUCAGCUUCGAUCUGCUGCUCCUGGAGGCCCAGGCCCGGGCCAAGGCCACCAACCGUCUGGCCUACGUCCAUGUGGUGGGCUUCGGGUUGGGCGUGUGGAAGGUGGCCGUCCAGCAGGAGCGCAUCUUUCUGGAGGCCUUUGAGCAGCGCAUGCGCACCCUCGGUUCCAGGUUGGAUCACUUGGGUGUCGUGCACUUCUCCUGGUUCACCAUGAAGGAAUGCGGCGGCCUAAAGGACGGUGCUCUGGUGGAGAUACCCGGUCAUCCCAAGAAGGGUAUUCGUGUCCGCAUCUCCAAGCGAAAUCCGGCCGAGAAGUUGACGGGACCGGAGAAUGCCGACAUGCUGCUGGUGGUGUCCUACGCCUGGGAUGGUAAUGCCUUGCCGGGCAAUGAGUUCUGGAUGAAGUGGACAAGCGACAAUUGAAAGUCACGAAGCAUGAAAUUAAUGAUGAUUUCCGAGUCAUCGGCUGGGAGAGGCUUCACUUUAUAUACUUCUCCCUGUUUGUAUACAGUUUCCCGGUUGCCUUUAGGUGUCAGAAGUGUUGAUAGGCGCUGAUUAGGAAAAUAAUAUGAGGAAUACUAUACAAAUUAGUGUUAUAGUUGAGGUUUUCUUAUCAGGACAUUUCCAAAAGUACCAAAGUUAAAUGAAAAAAAAUGCUCAAGUCCACGGGGGACUCCUCGACGGGCUGCUCCACUCUGGUGGCUGAGCUCCACAAUCCGCACAUCAAUACGGUGUUCUG